UGACUGAGCGGCGGACGGGUGAGUAACGCGUGGGUGACCUGCCCCAUACCGGGGGAUAACAGCUGGAAACGGCUGCUAAUACCGCAUAAGCGCACAGAGCUGCAUGGCUCGGUGUGAAAAACUCCGGUGGUAUGGGAUGGGCCCGCGUCUGAUUAGGCAGUUGGCGGGGUAACGGCCCACCAAACCGACGAUCAGUAGCCGGCCUGAGAGGGCGACCGGCCACAUUGGGACUGAGACACGGCCCAAACUCC
Molecule: ribosomal RNA, 251 nt
Filed under: uncultured Lachnospiraceae bacterium
Lineage: Bacteria; Bacillati; Bacillota; Clostridia; Lachnospirales; Lachnospiraceae
Description: partial 16S ribosomal RNA
Rfam family: Bacterial small subunit ribosomal RNA
Source: RNAcentral